Oryzias melastigma (Indian medaka) is the source of this 841-nucleotide long non-coding RNA. RefSeq lists it as uncharacterized. Lineage: Eukaryota; Metazoa; Chordata; Actinopteri; Beloniformes; Adrianichthyidae. The transcript is spliced from 4 exons. The record is from RefSeq and is a predicted model, not a curated record.
CCAACAGAAAAGCAGCCAUUAUGAAAAUGUGUUUUUAUGUUUUUUUCCAUGCAGCUCUGACUAGGUUGGAAAAGGAUGAGAAGAAGAUGCGGUUUGGAGGAUCGUGCGCGCAGUCCUCUGAAACCGCAGAGGGCUUUAAGCUGAGAUACGGAGCCAAACUUUCUGAAAAAUCCUGAGACGGAAGAUAACAGCGAGGAGAGAAAAAUGCCAGAGAGGUCGAGGAGUUCUCUCCCUGUCCGUUUUCCAUAAAAGCACAAAGCUGAAGAGGGAAAAACGAGGAGGGGGGGGGGCCUUCAAAUCUCACAUUUGCCCAACCUGCUGCGACUGACUUGAUCAGAUUAUAGGAGAUGGACACACCUGAUCCAGAACAAAGCUGCAAACUCAGUGAACUGCCCCGCCCACUUCACUGACAAAGUGGCCCCAACAUUGGCGGUAAAUCCCGGGUCGCAGAGAGGGGGACCUCUGGGGAGUGGGCUAUGUUUGUGUGAGAGGAAAGCGGGCUGCGUUUCCAUGGCAAUCAGCUGUUCUGUUUGUCCUGGCAACCGCCUUUGAAGUGAGACACUUCUUUUAACUUCAAGAGUCAAUCAAAGAUGUAAAGAUGGCUGCAUCCAUACAUUCACAGAUCGGGGAGGGGGGGGAGCUAAAAUAAACCAACACAUGAAAGCAACUCCCUCCUCGUUCCUGUCAGGACGUUUGUGUGGGUGUGUUUGUGUGUAAACCAAACACAUCCGGUCACACUGGUUGGAAUGAAGCUCCCCCCCCCGCCGUGCAUGGAGGAGACCUUCCUGUACCGACCGGUGUGACGACUGACAUUAAUGGGCUUAAGCUGACAAACAGCAGG